Molecule: ribosomal RNA, 2313 nt
Filed under: Corynebacterium striatum
Lineage: Bacteria; Bacillati; Actinomycetota; Actinomycetes; Mycobacteriales; Corynebacteriaceae
Description: partial 23S ribosomal RNA
Rfam family: Bacterial large subunit ribosomal RNA
Source: RNAcentral
AGCGGGGUGAUCUACCCAUGGCCAGUGUGAAGCAGCAGUAAGAUGCUGUGGAGGCGCGAACCCACGUAGGUUGAAAACUGCGGGGAUGAGCUGUGGGUAGGGGUGAAAGGCCAAUCAAACUCCGUGAUAGCUGGUUCUCCCCGAAAUGCAUUUAGGUGCAGCGUCGCAUUAGCUUGGUGGAGGUAGAGCUACUGGUUGGUUGAGCGGGACUACAAUCUUAGCAAUGUCAGCCAAACUCCGAAUGCCAUUAAUGUGUUGUGCGGCAGUGAGACUGUGGGGGAUAAGCUUCAUAGUCGAGAGGGAAACAGCCCAGAUCGCCGGUUAAGGCCCCUAAGGGUGUGCUAAGUGGAAAAGGAUGUGGGAUCGCGAAGACAGCCAGGAGGUUGGCUUAGAAGCAGCCAUCCUUGAAAGAGUGCGUAAUAGCUCACUGGUCGAGUGGUUCUGCGCCGACAAUGUAGUGGGGCUCAAGCACACCGCCGAAGCCGCGGCAAUAAUAUUUUGUUAUUGGGUAGGGGAGCGUCGUGCACGUGUUGAAGCGUUACCGUGAGGAGGCGUGGAGUGUGUGCGAGUGAGAAUGCAGGCAUGAGUAACGAAUUGGAAGGUGAGAAUCCUUCCCGCCGGAUGACUAAGGGUUCCUGGGUCAAGUUCGUCUUCCCAGGGUGAGUCGGGACCUAAGGCGAGGCCGACAGGCGUAGUCGAUGGAUAACCAGUUGAUAUUCUGGUACCCGGGUAUAUGCGCCCCUGAUAAAGCACUGAUACUAACCACCGUAAGCUGUUGUGAUUGGCCUUCGGGUUAACAUGGUGGCAAGCCGUGGGGCCUGAUGUGUGGUUCAAGCGAUGGGGUGACACAGUGGGGUAGCCAUGCCGCUUAGUGGAUUGUUGGUGUAAGCGUGUAGGUGAUGGUGUAGGUAAAUCCGCACUUGUUAGCUGAGACGUGAUGCGUAGCCUUAAUUGGUGAAGUUGGUGAUCCCGUGCUGUCGAGAAAAGCCUCUAGCGAUGUAUAUACUCGGCCCGUACCCCAAACCGACACAGGUAGUCAGGUUGAAAAUACUAAGGCGUUCGGGUGAACUGUGGUUAAGGAACUCGGCAAAAUGCCCCCGUAACUUCGGGAGAAGGGGGACCCUAUGGCGUGAACACCCAUUUGCGGUGGGAAGCGUUGUGGGGUCGCAGAGAAUAGAGGGAAGCGACUGUUUAUCAAAAACACAGGUCCAUGCGAAGACGUUAAGUUGAUGUAUAUGGACUGACGCCUGCCCGGUGCUGGAAGGUUAAGAGGACCGGUUAAUCAAGCUUUGCUUGGUGAAGCUGAGAAUUUAAGCCCCAGUAAACGGCGGUGGUAACUAUAACCAUCCUAAGGUAGCGAAAUUCCUUGUCGGGUAAGUUCCGACCUGCACGAAUGGCGUAACGACUUCCCUGCUGUCUCAACCACAGGCCCGGUGAAAUUGCACUACGAGUAAAGAUGCUCGUUACGCGCGGCAGGACGAAAAGACCCCGGGACCUUCACUAUAGCUUGGUAUUGGUGUUCGGUUCGGUUUGUGUAGGAUAGGUGGGAGACUAUGAAACAUGCACGCCAGUGUGUGUGGAGUCGUUGUUGAAAUACCACUCUGAUCGGAUUGGAUACCUUAACCUUGGCCCAUGAUCUGGGUUGGGGACAGUGCCUGGUGGGUAGUUUAACUGGGGCGGUUGCCUCCCAAAAUGUAACGGAGGCGCCCAAAGGUUCCCUCAGCCUGGUUGGCAAUCAGGUGGUGAGUGUAAGUGCACAAGGGAGCUUGACUGUGAGAGUGACAGCUCGAACAGGGACGAAAGUCGGGACUAGUGAUCCGGCACCUACUUGUGGAUGUGGUGUCGCUCAACGGAUAAAAGGUACCCCGGGGAUAACAGGCUGAUCUUCCCCAAGAGUCCAUAUCGACGGGAUGGUUUGGCACCUCGAUGUCGGCUCGUCGCAUCCUGGGGCUGGAGUAGGUCCCAAGGGUUGGGCUGUUCGCCCAUUAAAGCGGCACGCGAGCUGGGUUCAGAACGUCGUGAGACAGUUCGGUCUCUAUCCGCCGCGCGCGUUGAAACUUGAAGAAGGCUGUCCCUAGUACGAGAGGACCGGGACGGACGUACCUCUAGUGUGCCAGUUGUUCCGCCAGGAGCAUCGCUGGUUGGCUACGUACGGAAGGGAUAACCGCUGAAAGCAUCUAAGCGGGAAGCCUGUUUUAAGAUGAGGUUUCAUUUGAGGUCCCCUAAAGACUAUGGGGUUGAUAGGCCAGACAUGGAAGCACCGCAAGGUGUGGAGUCUACUGGUACUAAUAGACCAAAACAAACACACACGAC